RNAcentral lists this ribosomal RNA (710 nucleotides) under uncultured anaerobic ammonium-oxidizing bacterium. Its description in RNAcentral is "bacterial SSU rRNA". It matches the Rfam family "Bacterial small subunit ribosomal RNA", at positions 358 to 1051 of the family's 1533-position model. The record is from RNAcentral.
AGAAUCUUUCGCAAUGCCCGAAAGGGUGACGAAGCGACGCCGCGUGUGGCAAGAAGGCCUUCGGGUUGUAAACCACUGUCGGGAGUUAAGAAAUGCAAGGGUGUUAAUAGCGCCCUUGCUUGACUAAGGCUCCGGAGGAAGCUACGGCUAACUCUGUGCCAGCAGCCGCGGUAAUACAGAGGUGGCAAGCGUUGUUCGGAAUUAUUGGGCGUAAAGAGCACGUAGGCGGCCUUGAAAGUCAGUUGUGAAAUCCUUCCGCUUAACGGAAGAACUGCAUCUGAUACUCCAGGGCUCGAGUGCGGGAGGGGAGAGUGGAACUUCUGGUGGAGCGGUGAAAUGCGUAGAUAUCAGAAGGAACGCCGGCGGCGAAAGCGGCUCUCUGGUCCGUAACUGACGCUGAGUGUGCGAAAGCUAGGGGAUCAAACGGGAUUAGAUACCCCGGUAGUCCUAGCCGUAAACGAUGGGCACUAAGUAGAGGGGUUUUGAUUAUCUCUCUGCCGGAGCUAACGCAUUAAGUGCCCCGCCUGGGAAGUACGGCCGCAAGGCUAAAACUCAAAAGAAUUGACGGGGGCUCGCACAAGCGGUGGAGCAUGUGGCUUAAUUCGAUGCAACGCGAAGAACCUUACCGGGGUUUGACAUGGUAGAAGUAGGAACCCGAAAGGGUAACGAACGGUAUCCAGUCCGUAACUAUCACAGGUGUUGCAUGGCUG